Non-coding RNA from Zootermopsis nevadensis, 73 nucleotides. The record is from Rfam. Lineage: Eukaryota; Metazoa; Arthropoda; Insecta; Blattodea; Termopsidae.
GCCACGGUGGUCUAGCGGUUAGGACGCUGGCCUUGUAAUCCUGGGGUCUCGGGUUCGAUUCCCGGCGGUGCCC